Molecule: non-coding RNA, 87 nt
Organism: Podarcis lilfordi (Lilford's wall lizard)
Lineage: Eukaryota; Metazoa; Chordata; Lepidosauria; Squamata; Lacertidae
Source: the annotation of a GenBank genome assembly
GUUUGUUAUAGGUAUGAGCUUUUGUGUGCAUGCACACUUCUUCAGAUACAGUGUGCAUGUACACGAAAGCUCAUACCUAUAAUAAAC